This 127-nucleotide small RNA is filed under the name Marmota monax (woodchuck). Lineage: Eukaryota; Metazoa; Chordata; Mammalia; Rodentia; Sciuridae. The record is from RNAcentral.
GCCAGGCAUGGUGGUGCAUACCUGUAAUCCCAGCAGCUCCGGAGGCUAAGGCAGGAGGAUCACGAGUUCAAAGCCAGCCUCAGCAACUUAAAGAGGCCCUAAGCAACUCAUCAAGACCCUGUCUCUA